Molecule: ribosomal RNA, 477 nt
Filed under: Fridericia striata
Lineage: Eukaryota; Metazoa; Annelida; Clitellata; Enchytraeida; Enchytraeidae
Description: partial 16S ribosomal RNA
Rfam family: Bacterial large subunit ribosomal RNA
Source: RNAcentral
UGCUUUGUGACCAAAUAUACAAAGUAAUCUCCUGCCCAGUGAUAUAAAUUCAACGGCCGCGGUAUCCUAACCGUGCAAAGGUAGCAUAAUCACUUGCCUAUUAAUUGUAGGCUAGAAUGAACGGGGUAACGAAAUAAGAGCUGUCUCUUUUAUGCAUAUAAAAACUAAUAUUUAAGUGAAGAAGCUUAAAUAAAAUUAAAGGACAAGAAGACCCUAUAGAGCUUAAAUUUAAAUCUUACACAAUAUUUUACAUUUCGGUUGGGGCAACCCUGGAUAUAAUCAUCCAAUAUGUAUAAGAUAAACACAUCUAAUUUAUGAUCCUAUAUUAGAUCACAGGAACAAGCUACCUUAGGGAUAACAGGCUAAUCCUAUUAAAGAGUCCUUAUCAACAAUAGGGAUUGGCACCUCGAUGUUGGCUUAGAAUAUCUUUAGGGCGCAGCAGCCCUAAAAAGAAAGUUUGUUCAACUUAUAAUAUUC